This 478-nucleotide long non-coding RNA is filed under the name Physcomitrium patens. RNAcentral's name for it is "long non-coding RNA (PPAT_LNC007572)". The record is from RNAcentral. Lineage: Eukaryota; Viridiplantae; Streptophyta; Bryopsida; Funariales; Funariaceae.
GAUACUAGUUAAAAAUUUAUUUUUAUUUAUAUUUUCAUCAUAUAAUAGUAUUACAAUAUGACAUCCAUCCUCUCUAAACUUAAGCAUCUUUUGGAAUCCACCUAUAGAAUCAUUGAAUUUGGCUCGCAUUACACCACCUUUUUAUUUUUAAUAUUUGAUCCAUCUUUCAAAAUUCUAAUAAAUCAUGUAUCAAAAAUAUCUAUAUCUUGCAAGAAUAUCUCUUAUUUUGUACUUCUAUAAUCCUACUUUAUAGUAGUACUUUUCUAAAAUCCUUAAAUUUAAUAUCUCUUAGCAAUAUAUCCUCCUUCAACUUAUCUCAAUUUUUUUUUUUAUUUGAACAAAUUAACAAUGCAUGAGCAAUAAAAUUAUGAGCAGUUAAUAAUAUAUGAGCAGUUAAAAUCUUAUUUUCCAUCAUUAUCCAUCAUAGUACCAUAGCUUGUAGCUUCUAUUAUUACAAUCGUAUAUACAAUCAAAUAAU